GAGUGAAGCGGCAAGAGCUCAGAUUUGAAAUCGUGUUUCGGCACGAGUUGUAAAUUGCAGGUUGGAGUCUUUGUGGAAGUGCGUGUCCAAGUCCCUUGGAACAGGGCGCCAGUGAGGGUGAGAGCCCCGUGGGAUGCGCAUUGAAGCUUUAAGGCCCUUCUGACGAGUCGAGUUGUUUGGGAAUGCAGCUCUAAGCGGGUGGUAAAUUCCAUCUAAGGCUAAAUAUUGGCGAGAGACCGAUAGCGAACAAGUACUGUGAAGGAAAGAUGAAAAGCACUUUGAAAAGAGAGUGAAACAGCACGUGAAAUUGUUGAAAGGGAAGGGUAUUGGGUCCGACAUGGGGACUGCGCAUCGUUGCUUCUUGUAGGCGGCGCUCUGUGCUCUCUCUGGGCCAGCAUCGGUUUUUGCCGCAGGAUAAGGGGCGUUGGAACGUGGCUCCUCGGAGUGUUAUAGCCAACGCCAGAUGCUGCGAGCGGGGACCGAGGGCUGCGACAUUUGUCUCGGAUGCUGGCAUAACGGCUCAAUACC
This 528-nucleotide ribosomal RNA is filed under the name Pichia sporocuriosa. RNAcentral describes it as "eukaryotic LSU rRNA". It matches the Rfam family "Eukaryotic large subunit ribosomal RNA", at positions 91 to 646 of the family's 3401-position model. The record is from RNAcentral. Lineage: Eukaryota; Fungi; Ascomycota; Pichiomycetes; Pichiales; Pichiaceae.